GAGCCUUCGACAACGCCUGGUGGCCAG
RNAcentral lists this small RNA (27 nucleotides) under Bombyx mori (domestic silkworm). RNAcentral describes it as "ovarian small RNA-15798". Lineage: Eukaryota; Metazoa; Arthropoda; Insecta; Lepidoptera; Bombycidae. The record is from RNAcentral.